GACUGGUCCAGUGGUAAUGGGUUAUGAGAACUUAUUAACAUUAGUGUCAGUGAAGUUGGUAUACAACCUCCACUGCUAAGUUUGACUGCCUUAA
This 94-nucleotide non-coding RNA is filed under the name Propithecus coquereli (Coquerel's sifaka). The record is from RNAcentral. Lineage: Eukaryota; Metazoa; Chordata; Mammalia; Primates; Indriidae.